GACUUGUCCAGAAGUAGUAGAUUAUGUAAAUGGAUUGUGCAUAAGCAGUUGCAGGUUAGUCUCCUUGCUCUUGUUUUCCCCUCUUCUCACUACUGCACUAGACUAGUGUUUU
Y RNA from Geospiza fortis (medium ground-finch), 112 nucleotides. It matches the Rfam family "Y RNA". From Rfam's summary of the family: Y RNAs are components of the Ro ribonucleoprotein particle (Ro RNP), in association with Ro60 and La proteins. The Y RNAs and Ro60 and La proteins are well conserved, but the function of the Ro RNP is not known. The record is from Ensembl. Lineage: Eukaryota; Metazoa; Chordata; Aves; Passeriformes; Thraupidae.